RNAcentral lists this unclassified non-coding RNA (240 nucleotides) under soil metagenome. Its description in RNAcentral is "partial contains 5.8S ribosomal RNA, internal transcribed spacer 2, and large subunit ribosomal RNA". The record is from RNAcentral.
AAGACUAUAGACCUGCGGAGUACCUGCGGAGGGAUCAUCAUUGAAAACAUAACAAGACCCUUGGUUGGGGGGUUGUGUGUGGGGGGAGCUUGCUUCUCUCUCGUGCGCCUUCUUUCCUUGGGCAACCAACAAACAACAUACAUGACUAGGGAAAUUGACUUGGCCUGGGAAAAAGAGAGAGAGAAAAGUUCUUGCCUGAUAAGCAGUAGCCUAUGAUUUGGAAAGACAAUACAACUUUUA